This 451-nucleotide ribosomal RNA is filed under the name uncultured bacterium. RNAcentral's name for it is "partial 16S ribosomal RNA". It matches the Rfam family "Bacterial small subunit ribosomal RNA", at positions 29 to 523 of the family's 1533-position model. The record is from RNAcentral.
AACGAACGCUGGCGGCAGGCUUAACACAUGCAAGUCGAACGCGUGUGGCAAUACACGAGUGGCGCACGGGUGAGUAACGCGUGGAUAUCUGCCUUUUGGUUCGGAAUAACUCCGGGAAGCUGGAGCUAAUACCGGAUGGUUCCUUCGGGAUAAAGAUUUAUCGCCAAAAGAUGAGUCCGCGUACGAUUAGCUAGUUGGUGAGGUAAUGGCUCACCAAGGCGACGAUCGUUAGCUGGUCUGAGAGGACGAUCAGCCACACUGGGACUGAGACACGGCCCAGACUCCUACGGGAGGCAGCAGUGGGGAAUAUUGGACAAUGGGGGCAACCCUGAUCCAGCCAUGCCGCGUGAGUGAUGAAGGCCUUCGGGUUGUAAAGCUCUUUUGGCGGGGACGAUGAUGACGGUACCCGCAGAAUAAGCCCCGGCUAACUUCGUGCCAGCAGCCGCGGUAA